This 371-nucleotide ribosomal RNA is filed under the name uncultured bacterium. RNAcentral's name for it is "bacterial SSU rRNA". It matches the Rfam family "Bacterial small subunit ribosomal RNA", at positions 527 to 896 of the family's 1533-position model. The record is from RNAcentral.
AGAGGUGGCAAGCGUUGUUCGGAAUUACUGGGCGUAAAGGGCGCGUAGGCGGCCAUCUAAGUCAGACGUGAAAUCCCCCGGCUCAACCUGGGAACUGCGUCUGAUACUGGAAGGCUAGAGUUUGGGAGAGGGAUGUAGAAUUCCAGGUGUAGCGGUGAAAUGCGUAGAUAUCUGGAGGAAUACCGGUGGCGAAGGCGGCAUCCUGGACCAAUACUGACGCUGAGGCGCGAAAGCUAGGGGAGCAAACGGGAUUAGAUACCCCGGUAGUCCUAGCCCUAAACGAUGAAUACUUGGUGUGGCGGGUAUCGAUCCCUGCCGUGCCGAAGCUAACGCAUUAAGUAUUCCGCCUGGGGAGUACGGUCGCAAGGCUG